UGGGUAACCUGCCUCAAAGAGGGGAAUAGCCUCCCGAAAGGGAGAUUAAUACCGCAUAAUAUGUUUAAGUCGCAUGACUUUAACAUCAAAGGAUUUUCUUUUAGAACUUCCACUUCGAGAUGGACCCGCGGCGCAUUAGCUAGUUGGUGAGGUAACGGCUCACCAAGGCAACGAUGCGUAGCCGACCUGAGAGGGUGAUCGGCCACAUUGGAACUGAGACACGGUCCAGACUCCGUAGGGAG
This 242-nucleotide ribosomal RNA is filed under the name uncultured bacterium. RNAcentral describes it as "partial 16S ribosomal RNA". It matches the Rfam family "Bacterial small subunit ribosomal RNA", at positions 118 to 347 of the family's 1533-position model. The record is from RNAcentral.